GCAUUGGUGGUUUAGUGGCAGAAUUCUCACCUUUAGUGUAGGAGACCUGGGUUCGAUUCUUGGCCAACGUA
Molecule: transfer RNA, 71 nt
Filed under: Loxodonta africana (African savanna elephant)
Lineage: Eukaryota; Metazoa; Chordata; Mammalia; Proboscidea; Elephantidae
Rfam family: tRNA
About the family: Transfer RNA (tRNA) molecules are approximately 80 nucleotides in length.
Source: Rfam by way of RNAcentral